RNAcentral lists this ribosomal RNA (253 nucleotides) under uncultured bacterium. RNAcentral's name for it is "partial 16S ribosomal RNA". It matches the Rfam family "Bacterial small subunit ribosomal RNA", at positions 524 to 776 of the family's 1533-position model. The record is from RNAcentral.
UACGAAGGGAGCUAGCUUUGUUCGGAAUCACUGGGCGGAAAGCGCACGUAGGCGGCUGUGUCAGUCAGGGGUGAAAUCCCGGAGCUCAACUUCGGAACUGCCCUUGAUACAGCACGUCUUGAGUCCGGAAGAGGUGGGUGGAAUUCCUAGUGUAGAGGUGAAAUUCGUAGAUAUUAGGAAGAACACCGGUGGCGAAGGCGGCCCACUGGUCCGGUACUGACGCUGAGGUGCGAAAGCGUGGGGAGCAAACAGG